CACCGCCUGAAAACAAAUCACCAUCAUAUUCUCGUUGUCAUCUCCAAGCUAUACUACAAUUUCCAUCACAGUUGAUCAAUUCAAAGAAAUCGAGAGCUAGAGAAAAGAAUUCUUUCUUUUUCUCUUUUCAAAGACAAUUUUCCAACCUAAGCUCACCGCGCGCCGGAGAACCUCUGUCCUGUCCACGGUCGAACAACGACAGAGACACAGCAGCGGCGGCGGCUUCGGCCGUCUCAAGCGCCAACGGGAGUGACACAGCGGACAGCAGGAGAAGUGGCCGACGGCGCUGCUGCUGCUGCCCCACGAGCGCUCGAAGAGGCCCCGCGUCGGCGAGCAGCAAGAACAGCGACGAUGGCCGGAGGAGAUGACGGUGGAGGGAUGGGCGAUUGGCGACGAACUCGCCGGAGAAAGAAAAGGAGUGGAGGCGCCGCCUCUGAUGUAGGAAAGAAUUUGAUGAAUUUGGGGAAAAUGGAAUGAAGGGGAUAGAGAGAGAGAGAAGUUGACCGAGAAGGGAGAGUGGAGAAAUUUUUGGUGAAACACUUUGGUUGGGCCACUUUAGUUGUUUUUGUUUGGGCCAAAGGAUUUUCAAGAAUUAAAGUGGACUACAUAAUUAAAUUAGAUAAGGGGGCCGACAGUGAAUAAUAACAAUAAAUAAAGGGGCUACUUAAUUUCUUGUUGUUAAUGAGAAUGGUCUUUUAUGGACAAGGAUUAAAAUUAGUGUUUGGGCCGAUUAAAUUACAUAGAGCGAAGAGUUAAUCGUGGAGA
Salvia hispanica is the source of this 765-nucleotide long non-coding RNA. RefSeq lists it as uncharacterized. Lineage: Eukaryota; Viridiplantae; Streptophyta; Magnoliopsida; Lamiales; Lamiaceae. The record is from RefSeq and is a predicted model, not a curated record.